CCAGACUCCUACGGGAGGCAGCAGUGGGGAAUAUUGCGCAAUGGGGGAAACCCUGACGCAGCAACGCCGCGUGCGGGAUGAAGGCUUUCGGGUUGUAAACCGCUUUCAGCAGGGAAGAUAGUGACGGUACCUGCAGAAGAAGCCCCGGCUAAAUACGUGCCAGCAGCCGCGGUAAUACGUAUGGGGCGAGCGUUAUCCGGAUUCAUUGGGCGUAAAGCGCGCGCAGGCGGGCUGCUAAGCGGGACCUCUAAUCUCGGGGCUCAACCCCGAGCCGGGUUCCGAACUGGCAGCCUCGGGUUCGGUAGGGGUAGGCGGAAUUCCCGGUGUAGCGGUGGAAUGCGCAGAUAUCGGGAAGAACACCGAUGGCGAAGGCAGCCUACUGGGCCGCAACCGACGCUGAGGCGCGAAAGCUGGGGGAGCGAACAGGAUUAGAUACCCGGGUA
Molecule: ribosomal RNA, 443 nt
Filed under: uncultured bacterium
Lineage: Bacteria
Description: bacterial SSU rRNA
Rfam family: Bacterial small subunit ribosomal RNA
Source: RNAcentral